Long non-coding RNA from Sapajus apella (tufted capuchin), 708 nucleotides. RefSeq lists it as uncharacterized. Lineage: Eukaryota; Metazoa; Chordata; Mammalia; Primates; Cebidae. The transcript is spliced from 2 exons. The record is from RefSeq and is a predicted model, not a curated record.
UUCGCCAUGUUGCCCAGGCUGAGCUUGAACUCCUGACCUCAGGUGAUCCGCCUGCCAUGGCCCCCCAAAGUCCUGGGAUUACAGGUGUGAGCCAGCAUAUCAGUGUCUUCAUGCCUUUUCACUUUGUUAUUUUUGGAUGUUUUUCUUUUUCCUCCCCGGCCACUGGCAUGUUGGUCGUCACAUGGGGGAAGUGGUAGGUCUGAAGUGACCACUACUGAAGGAUCUGCUGGGACAAGUCAUGGUGCAGCCUGCACGAGGAAACAUUGCCAGCAGCCGCAGCGAGCCGCAAGUGAGACGGAAGUGAGAGAGCAUGGAUGUGCAGAGCUUCCUGCAGCCCUGAGGGUGGUCAGUGCGGCCUCUGCAUCCACAAGGAAAAGGUGGAGGAUGUUCAGGCCCAGGGGUUGCUCCCCAGGUUUCUGUGAGAAACCCGUGGCACAGACAACCACACACGAGUAGAACUACAACCGUGGAAUCUGAAAUUUAGUGUCUUAUACUUGGUUCUAAAAUUAGGUUGAUUUAAAUUCAGAAGUGUGCCCUACUCUGACAAAUGUUAAAGUAGACUAAUAGAAGGCACAUUUUGACACAGAGGCCCUGGGUUUGAGACUCCUCCAUCAUCCCUAAACCAGAGGAAGAAUUGCUGUGUGAGCCAGCGAUAUUUGAUCUGAUUUCUGUUUAGUUUCUGUGAUGUAGCUGUGCUACCUUUAAAAU